This 1050-nucleotide long non-coding RNA is filed under the name Acyrthosiphon pisum (pea aphid). Its description in RNAcentral is "uncharacterized LOC103308599, transcript variant X1". Lineage: Eukaryota; Metazoa; Arthropoda; Insecta; Hemiptera; Aphididae. The record is from RNAcentral.
UUCUUUUUUUUCUUGCAAACUGUGCAUCACUUUAAUAUUUUAAUUUAGAAUUUUUUUUUUUUUUUAAUAAAUAUCGUCAUAUCCCGACGUCUGUUCCUCCUUGCAAUCUUGCCACUUCAAUACGUUACUCACUGUUUGAAGUUAAAACUGUUGAAUGUUGAUUAUUGAAGGUUUUGUUAUUAAGCCCUUAAGUUCAUUUAGAUUUUUGCGGAAAAGAAUAAAGAUGUUGUUAUAAGACUUAGAUUCUACCGGCUUACAGCUCUUAGUAUACUUUCUUGGUCCUGGAGAAAUCAUGGUCACCGAAAAAAAUGUACAAAUUUUGUUUCCAGUGGCAAAUCUCUUACAGUUAAACGGUACACACUAGGCGUGUUGUGAUAUAUUACAUACACGACUGCACCCUGCAGAUUGUAUUGGUAUAAAUGCGUUAGCUGAUUUUACAUAGCUGCACAAAAUUAUUAACAAGUUCAGAAUUAUAUAUUCACAAGCACUUUUCUUAUGAAGACGUGGUUAAGCAACCGUGACAAGUUUCCAGUUAUCCAAGAUAUCCAGUGAUGAACUUACAGUUCCAUUUGAAGAAAAAAUAAACUUCAAAAGUGGUGUUGUUGGUACCGCAGUUAUGACAAAAUACAAUAAUGAAACUUACAAAAUUGACGACAGAAUUAACAAAGAAGUACUGUAUUAGAAAUAGAACAUAACAAUUUGUGGUGGCAGACAACCGAUGUGGAUUUCAAAAAAUAAAAAUCUAUAAGAUAAUUUGGGGUUGAAGAUACAUUGGUUUACCUUGUUCCAGAAUUAUGCAUUAUGACUGGCUUGACCGAUGCCACGAGAAAUAAUUUCAAAUUCAUGAAAAGUAUGGCCAUAUAUACCCGUAUAAAUCCUAUAGAACGCAUGGAAAGGUUAACAAACAUUGCUCAUCAACUUCUUUCUAUACCCGAAAUUGUUCAUUAUUCGAAUCAUCUUCGUUCACAUUCAGAAAUUUUAAAUCGUCUUCAUCAAUGACAGUUAAUUUAGACUGAUGCACAGCAAUCAUUGUGUAAUCGUGUUUUUCAA